CAAUGAAGGAACUAUAGUAAUGUGCACAAAAAUUGAAUUGAGUCUCUUGCCUGCCCUCUCUGAUGUCAUUUGGCUUUGAUUUGGGGACAUGGUUUCGCAGCAAAACA
Rhododendron vialii is the source of this 107-nucleotide small nucleolar RNA. RefSeq annotates it as small nucleolar RNA snoR100. The transcript has a single exon. Lineage: Eukaryota; Viridiplantae; Streptophyta; Magnoliopsida; Ericales; Ericaceae. The record is from RefSeq and is a predicted model, not a curated record.